GAUCUUGCAGGCAGAUCACUGGCAGCAACUUUUUUUUUUUUUGUACUUAUUAGUUACCCCACUCCCCCAGAAAGGAUGAAUCUGGAUUGAACAGAUGGAAAAUGUAGGGUGGCUAUUUUUAUGCCGACGACAAUGUGUGGACUCUGCAAAGAUGUUGCAGGUGCAAGGGACACUGAUCCCACAACAAACACCUUGAGUCAGCAGAGUCCAUAAAAAGUGGUGAUCUAACAUUUAAGGUGACAGUUUGUGCCUUGGGCUCCUUUCCUUUCCCCACAAAGGUCUGGUGGGACUCAGAACAAAUACAUUUUGCAGUCGUUUUUUGUUUACAUCACCAAAACCAGUGACAGGAUGCAAAAUACAUCAGGCUGGGAGCAACCACAAGGAAGGCCACACAUUUAUUCACAUAUGUCCAUUCUACUGAGGCCUAAAAAAACAACCACCAUCACCACCAUCAGGUGGUAUGGGAAAACAUGCUUCACCAACUUUGACUGAUUUUAAAAUGGCCUGCAACUACCUACUUUAGACUAAUAGUCACUAAAUGUUUCACUAAGGAGUCUAACCAAAUAGUAUACUUUAUAUUUUAUGCAUAAUUUAGUUUAUUUCUGCCAGUGAUGGAAAAGAAUACAGUACCCUGAUUUAUAAGCUCCAAUAGUCAUGAUCUCCAAAUCACAGAACUCCUACUGAGACCUUUGCUUUCUGUUGUUUCCUCGACUAUUCACUUAUCAAACCUUUCCUUAUAAUCAUAUGGACUGGAAGCUUGGUGUUUGUUGGUUUGUUUUUAAUUUAAUGGAGCUGAGAUUCUCAGAAUCUAAAUCUCUUUCUCUUUUUUAUUCUUCAUCUUCACUGUUGGAAUUGUAAAACAGACCCACUGCUGUAUGUGAUUUCUUGCUUUCUGCUGAACAUCUUAAGCAAUUGAUAUGGGAGAAGGUAUGUUGUAAGAGCUACGUAAAAGAAAGGCACAAUACUGAGCAAAGAUUUUUAAGUCAGUGGGCUUGUUUACAGGGACAAGACAUAUUACUGCUUCUUACAAGUAUCUGUGUAAUAAGAAAAAGAAAUGAAAGCAUAAUUAAACAGGUUCCAAAUCUCAUUGUGUAUCUUGGCUUGACACUUUUUGGACCUCUCCCCUUCUGCCUUUCUUGUUUCCCAGGGUGAACUAGGCCAUUAAAUCUAGGCCAGUCUUUUCCAGUUAUUCAAGAGUGAUUAUCUUUUUGAGAACAGUAAAACCCUUGCUGCAAAUAUUGGUUUAUAGUUGUUGUAUUUUCAGGUGUUUAACAUGGUUCCUGAGUAUGAAACGAGAGCUCCAACAGUGCAGUGACCAGACUAAAAGAAACAGAGCUACUGCUUUUAAGACUUUGCUUUUAUGCAGUUUAUGAUCCUUGUAAAUAAUGCACCACCCUUGUCUCCCUUUGGAUGUCUACGAAGAGCACAGUCAUUGCCUUACUGGAUGAGGCCAGUGGUCCAUCUGGUCCAGAAAUUCUUGGCCAGUUACUUGGUGCCUUUGGAAGCUGACAAGUAAGGCAAAAGGACUACAACUCCCAUCAUCCCUGAGCUGUGGCCUUGCUAGCUAGGGGUCAUGGGAGUUGUAGUUCAAAAACAUCUGGGGACCCACAGGUUUAGAAAGGCUGGUUUAGGCUUUCCCUUGUUGCUCAUCUAUUCCCCAGUGUGUGGUAUGCAGAGGAUCACUAGCUGCUUUUUUUAGCAUUUUCCUUAUGGCCCCAUCACUUAAACCAGUCCUCCCACUGCAUUAUUAUGAAUGAAGGCUAACCAUGCUUGGUACUUCUCUCUCUGUUAGGAUAUUUAGAAAGAAUCCCUCCUUCCUGCCCCCCUCUUCUUUUUGAAGGGUGUAUAUGGCUUUCAGUCAAGUCUUUAUUUCUGGAUCUUAUCCUAAUUUCAUACCUUGGUUUGACAAUAGCCUUUAAACCACUUUCCUCCUGCAGAUGUCACAGGAAACAGUGGUUUAGGAAACCAGGGUAUCUUUGCUGAAGUCAGGCAUGCGAGGAGAGACACAGCAAGCACACAUUCUUAGCCUGGAUCAACCCCAUGGAUUGUCCAUACUGAGAUCAUAAUGACACCUGAACCAGGCUGUUGUACUUUGUCAAACGUACACUGCAAGACCUCAGACUUGCUUUCUGGCAGAGCAGCCAAGAAUAUUCAGCUGAAAAAUCAAAUCAAAUGGGAACAAAAGG
This is a non-coding RNA of Podarcis lilfordi (Lilford's wall lizard), 2186 nucleotides long. Lineage: Eukaryota; Metazoa; Chordata; Lepidosauria; Squamata; Lacertidae. The record is from the annotation of a GenBank genome assembly.